Molecule: ribosomal RNA, 467 nt
Filed under: uncultured bacterium
Lineage: Bacteria
Description: partial 16S ribosomal RNA
Rfam family: Bacterial small subunit ribosomal RNA
Source: RNAcentral
ACGAACGCUGGCGGCGUGCUUAACACCUGCAAGUCGAACGGAAAGGCCCUGCUUUUGUGGGGUGCUCGAGUGGCGAACGGGUGAGUAACACGUGAGUAACCUGCCCUUGACUUUGGGAUAACUUCAGGAAACUGGGGCUAAUACCGGAUAGGAGCUCCUGCUGCAUGGUGGGGGUUGGAAAGUUUCGGCGGUUGGGGAUGGACUCGCGGCUUAUCAGCUUGUUGGUGGGGUAGUGGCUUACCAAGGCUUUGACGGGUAGCCGGCCUGAGAGGGUGACCGGCCACAUUGGGUCUGAGAUACGGCCCAGACUCCUACGGGAGGCAGCAGUGGGGAAUAUUGCACAAUGGGCGGAAGCCUGAUGCAGCAACGCCGCGUGCGGGAUGACGGCCUUCGGGUUGUAAACCGCUUUCGCCUGUGACGAAGCGUGAGUGACGGUAAUGGGUAAAGAAGCACCGGCUAACUACGUG